Molecule: long non-coding RNA, 239 nt
Organism: Maniola jurtina (meadow brown)
Lineage: Eukaryota; Metazoa; Arthropoda; Insecta; Lepidoptera; Nymphalidae
Exons: 3
Source: RefSeq, a predicted model, not a curated record
AAUACACAAUGUGAUUUCUAAUAAUAGUCCUAAGAAAAUAUUACUUUAUACUUUGCCCUAAAAUUGUUUACACCUUUUCGACCUGUUAUCUCCCAAAGCCACCAUGAUCCAAACUUAUAGUCACUGAUCGUUCUUCCCUGUGUUGGGGACGAUACACAGAAAAACUCUCAGCUUUUUACAAAAUAAUAAAGGUCUGGCAUGCGUUGGCUCUUAGUCUAAUAGUAAGUAUGUAUUUAUUU